Molecule: non-coding RNA, 259 nt
Organism: Pelobates cultripes (western spadefoot toad)
Lineage: Eukaryota; Metazoa; Chordata; Amphibia; Anura; Pelobatidae
Source: the annotation of a GenBank genome assembly
ACUACAGACCUGAUCAACCCCCAUGCAUUCUCUAUUACCCCAAUAUCACCACACACACACUCUGCAGUCACAUUUUAAUUCCCAAAACACAUGCUCUAGUCCCUAUAAACCUCUAUCCCAGGGGUGGACUGACCGAGGUAGUGAUGGGCCAGGCUGGCUGAACAGCCAUACACUCUCUAUGGCCGGGGAGAUCUGAGAUCUCCGCAACCAGAGAGGCACAAUUAUACAUUGUAGGUUGCCCCUGAAGUGUGUAGUAGAG